RNAcentral lists this ribosomal RNA (263 nucleotides) under uncultured bacterium. RNAcentral's name for it is "partial 16S ribosomal RNA". It matches the Rfam family "Bacterial small subunit ribosomal RNA", at positions 74 to 334 of the family's 1533-position model. The record is from RNAcentral.
UUUUGCUUGCAAACUAAAGAUGGCGACCGGCGCACGGGUGAGUAACACGUAUCCAACCUGCCGAUAACUCGGGGAUAGCCUUUCGAAAGAAAGAUUAAUAUCCGAUAGUAUAUUAAAACCGCAUGGUUUUACUAUUAAAGAAUUUCGGUUAUCGAUGGGGAUGCGUUCCAUUAGUUUGUUGGGGGGUAACGGCCCACCAAGACUACGAUGGAUAGGGGUUCUGAGAGGAAGGUCCCCCACAUUGGAACUGAGACACGGUCCAA